This is a long non-coding RNA of Cyprinus carpio (common carp), 1226 nucleotides long. The record is from Ensembl. NCBI's taxonomy places the organism in Eukaryota, Metazoa, Chordata, Actinopteri, Cypriniformes, Cyprinidae.
GGAGAGGAGAAGCUGUAUUCUGUUCCUGUUCUGAGGUCGCAGCGACCGAUAUCUCUGCUUCCGACUGUGUGUUUACCGCGCCAUCCCUCCGGACUGUUUCUCCAUGCCCGUGCCGCAGCUCAGAUGGGAGACGUAAGUGCAGUCUGGCACGUGAACGCGCGCGGCAGGUCUCUCUGGCGGGCCAUCCCAAGUACGGGAUGCUGAACGGGAGCCGUGAGGGUUUGUUUGAACUGGGCAAGCAGCUCCAGCAGGAGGGAGACUCCAAGGCUGCUCUGCACUGCUUUUUGAGCUGCCUGCUGGGACUCACACAUGUGCAGAGCUUCCACUCGCUUCCCAACUGCCUGCAUCAGAUUGCCGAAAUCUACAUUGAUGACAAGAAUUAUGGGAAAGCUCUGCAGUUCAUUCAGGCGGAGAAGAUGUUCUACGAAGUGGCAUUGAUCGAGCUCACCUCACUGCAGGCCAGCACAGGGUCUCAGGAAGACGGACCAUUGGGAACGUCAGGAUGUCUGUCUCAAGAGGAGUUAUCAGAACAGGCUUCACAGGCCCAGGAUCUUGAGAGACUGGCUCAGCUCUGCAUCAUGAGCAAAAGACCCCAUCUUGCUUUAGAAUACAGUGGCAAGGCCACUAAAAUCCACCAGAGGGCUUUUGGUAACGAUCAUCCGAUCACAGCCCGGAGUCUGGAGCUGCUGGCCACUGUCUAUGCUGAGAUCGGCAAGACAGAAUAUACAAAUUCAUUGGGAGAGUGUGUGUCGACUCUUUCCAAAAGGUUCUCGGCCACCGAGUCAUUCAGCGAUGCUCUGAGUAGCAUCUCUCAUAGCCAUAAAGACAGACACGCUGAGCUGCGACACAGAAAAGAGCCAUACAUACAACAGGAAACUCCUAAAACGAAGGUCAUAAAUGAAAAACUGCCCACCUCUAUUCUGAAAAGGUCCAAUGUGAGCAACGUGGAGUCAGACUCAUCGAGCAAGCGAAAAAGCGAGAGGCGGGUUCGCUUCAGAGAGCCGGAGAUCACUGUUCAUGUCUACGACACCCCCCAGAGCCGGUUGCACCUAGCCCUGCUCACCUGCCUGUUCCUGCUUCUGUCUGCGCUGGGUGUAGCACUGUACUGCACGGACCGCCGAAGACCCCAGCGUGCCUGCGAAGAGCUGCAGACAGCACUGGCUGUGUACCUGCUUCAGUUCAAACAGAUCGUUUGGGCCUGCUGGAUCUGGCUGACCAUGCAAUGA